AACCAUAGAAACCUGCGGAGUACCUGCGGAAGGAUCAUUAAUGAAUGGCCGUCUGACGGCCUUCAAACCCCUCAAACCAUGUGGAAAGAGAUUGUGCUUCGGCGCCCAGGCGCCGCUUUUAUGCAGAACCACAGCCUGUGUCUGAAUGGAAAGCAGAAAAUGAAAACUUUCAACAAUGGAUCU
This 183-nucleotide unclassified non-coding RNA is filed under the name soil metagenome. Its description in RNAcentral is "partial contains 5.8S ribosomal RNA, internal transcribed spacer 2, and large subunit ribosomal RNA". The record is from RNAcentral.